CCUGGGAUUGGUGACGUAGAGAAGACCAACAUUAUCAUAGUUCAGCCCUCUCUGCUUUGCUUGGGUACGCCCUCAAAGACGGGGGUGGAGAGCCCUGAGUCAGAAGAGAGCUAAAAUGGCGGAGGUUGGGAGUCCCUGCUUUGACCCUGUUUGCAAACUCUUGUUUCAUCGUUUAAGCGAUUAAAUCUCUCGAGUAGACGCUGUCUCUUUAGAUGCGAGGGCAAAAUAGCACUUUAUGGACUUACACAGAGGACAUCAUGUUUAAUACGAUUCCGGAAAAAUCCAGUCAGAAGUUGUUCACGGAGUUUUCACAAUAACUGCUUCUCAUGAACCGAAGCUGCGCGACGUCUCCUCCUGAAAGUUGGAUUACUGUGCACUUCUGGAUCACAGGCUAUUCGCAGCUGGACACAUCCUUCUACACUGUAUGCAAACAUGCAACAUCAUUACACACAGUACAAGGAGUUAGACUGGCAUAUGAGGAGCAAAGGAACCCAGGCAGUAGCAUCGUUUCACAAUGUUUCCAUCACCAUCAUCAGUGGAUGCCUUUGCCGUCCGUACCCUGAGAUUUCAGAUUUGCAGCAAAAAAUGUGACUUUCCCAUUUAUUGGAAUGCUGUGCAGGUUGUACCUUGCAGCCAUCCAUUACAAUGUCACCAAGCCGUAACAAAAGCAGGAGAGGGAAAGUACAAGGCUAUGUUCCCAAAACACACAAGUGACAUACCUUAUGUGGAUGAUGUGAUCAGGCUUGUGUUUGAUGAGGUAUUUGAAGAUAAGCUGAAGGAAACCCCAAUUCCAAUGGACCUGGCAUCACAGUUUGAGAGACCUUCAAAGGAGGACGUGAUUGCAUGCCAUCUUCAGUGCAGGGGUCGUCGGAAGCCAACAUUCCGAUCAGGAAGCUCCAAGCAUAUCUGGAGAACAACACACGACAGGAUGAUAACCCUAAAGUGUCAUCUUAGAUAGCAUCAGCUGACAAAGCUUUGAUAUGCCAUUUAUCUGAAUAGAUAGCUGUAAGAAGUGAAUUGAACAAUUUUUGAAAGAAGAGCACAAUAUGGUUACUUAAGUAUG
Long non-coding RNA from Paramisgurnus dabryanus, 1063 nucleotides. RefSeq lists it as uncharacterized. NCBI's taxonomy places the organism in Eukaryota, Metazoa, Chordata, Actinopteri, Cypriniformes, Cobitidae. The record is from RefSeq and is a predicted model, not a curated record.